This 494-nucleotide ribosomal RNA is filed under the name uncultured bacterium. RNAcentral's name for it is "partial 16S ribosomal RNA". It matches the Rfam family "Bacterial small subunit ribosomal RNA", at positions 28 to 507 of the family's 1533-position model. The record is from RNAcentral.
GACGAACGCUGGCGGCGUGCUUAACACAUGCAAGUCGAACGGAAAGGCCUGUCCUUCCUUGUGUUGGACGGGUACUCGAGUGGCGAACGGGUGAGUAACACGUGAGUGAUCUGCCCCCAACUUGGGUAUAAGCCUGGGAAACUGGGUCUAAUUCCCGAUAGGACUGCAGGGUGGUGCCUGUGGUGGAAAACGAUUUUCUAGUGGUUGGGGAUGAGCUCGCGGCCUAUCAGCUUGUUGGUGGGGUAAUGGCCUACCAAGGCGGCGACGGGUAGCCGGCCUGAGAGGGUGGACGGCCACAUUGGGACUGGGAUACGGCCCAGACUGCUACGGGAGGCAGCAGUGGGGAAUAUUGCACAAUGGGCGGAAGCCUGAUGCAGCGACGCCGCGUGGGGGAUGACGGCCUUCGGGUUGUAAACUCCUUUCGACCGCGAGGAAGCCGCCUGGUUGGAAGGGUGGUGACGGUAGUGGUAGAAGAAGCACCGGCUAACUACGUG